Molecule: long non-coding RNA, 173 nt
Filed under: Canis lupus familiaris (dog)
Lineage: Eukaryota; Metazoa; Chordata; Mammalia; Carnivora; Canidae
Description: lncRNA (ENSCAFG00040019055.1)
Source: RNAcentral
GAGCUAAGCCGAGCGGACGGGAGGUGCGUCUCCCCGCAAAACCCCGCGUCAAAAAACGCCUACCAAAUGCUUUCUCGUUUGGACCCAGACUCCAGUUCCGGAGCAGUCUGGUAGCCGGAUCCCCUAGGAGGAGAAGUAGUAAAGCGGUAAGAAGAAAGCAUUUCAGUUUGGAA